GCCUGCGGAAUAGCUCAGCCGGUAGAGUAAGAGACUAUUAAUCUCAGGGUCAUAGGUUUGAGCCCCAUGCUGGGCA
This is a non-coding RNA of Podarcis lilfordi (Lilford's wall lizard), 76 nucleotides long. Lineage: Eukaryota; Metazoa; Chordata; Lepidosauria; Squamata; Lacertidae. The record is from the annotation of a GenBank genome assembly.